Molecule: long non-coding RNA, 1511 nt
Organism: Amaranthus tricolor (Joseph's coat)
Lineage: Eukaryota; Viridiplantae; Streptophyta; Magnoliopsida; Caryophyllales; Amaranthaceae
Exons: 5
Source: RefSeq, a predicted model, not a curated record
CCUUCCCUAAUACUUCCCUCUUGGCAAACAAUUGCAUUACAGUUCUAUUUCAAACAAAACCCAUGACAAUUUCAUUUCUGUCUCAAACUAAACCCACAAUUUAAUUUCUCUCUUAAAGCCAAUCCACCAUUUCAUCUUCAUCUUCUCAAAACAAAUGUAAGCUAUACUUUAACCAUCAUUCUUCAAUUUCAACGGAUAAUCACUGUUGAUUCUGCUAUUAUUGUGCUUAACAAGCGUCCAAAAUUACCCGUGAAGAUGAUUGCUUAAGUGAGCAUGUUUAUAUAUGGCACUCGAGUGUAUAUGCUCAUUCUUUUCUUACCAACUCGUACUGGAAUAUUUGCCAGGGGAAUUUACCUGUUCAUAUCAGCAUGGAUGCUUUAGCUGCUGCUGCAUUAACGUAUGAUUAUGAGGAAGGUCCGCAGUUGGUUUCAAAGGGAAUGUUUAGGUUAGAGCAAGCAUGUAAUCUCGCACAUCAGAACUCUCGACCAAAGAUAGCUAGCAGUGUUGCUAAUUCUGUUUCACAAGUUUGAAAGGGAAUGUUUAGGUCAGAGCAAGCAUGGAUCCUCGCACAACAAGGCUCUCGAUCACAGAGAACUAGUACUGUUGCUAUUCUUAUUCAGGGCGUUCCUACUUCCUUGAAUGUGAAACAAACAUGGGGUAUACCAUCAAAAUCACAACUUCCAGCUUCUUUUCCUAGUCGCUUAAGCACAUUGCCGAACAUUUCACCAUUUUUACCUUCAUUUUCCCAACCACCACCAAGUAUAGCUCCAAAUCAAUCUUAUGGUCACAAUGGUCAUUCAUCUUCUUCAUAUGAGUCACAGUUUCAACCUGGAGUAUCCUUAGGAGAUUCAUCCAAGUAUGCUAAUAAUAAAUCACAAACAAAUGUAUCUUCAUCGCAACGAAUUGACGAUGGUUGUAGUGCUGAUGAGGAUGAUGAGGUUGCAUCAGUUUGAAGAAUCCAAUUGAGAUAGUUGAUGCAAAUGGAGAUUGCAAACUCAAGCAUAACAUGAAAGUCAGAGAUGUCUAUAAAUUGCAAGAGGGUGAAAAGGUUGUAGUCCAUGUCAAUGAAUAUGGACAACCUAUUGAAGAUGCUAGAAGAGUCUUAACUAGGUGGAUGACAAAAUUAGUGAAGCAACCAAAUUUAUGUCCUCCAGAUGUUAAAGAUUUCCAUGAGCUAAAAGAAAUUUGCGGUUGUCAUCUACUAAGAUUAGUUCGGGAGAGAUUUUCUUUUCCUAAUCAAGAUAAUGUAGACCGUGCUUUGUUAUCUAUGUUUGAUGCCAAAUUCAGCAAAAUAAGUAUAAGAUAACAAAGAAACUUUACAAACUUUACAUUUACAUUUGAUAUGUUACAUAAAAGCAUUUUUCAAUUUUAUAUUGUGCAUAUACUAUUCAAAUAUUUAAUUUCAAUAUCUAUUUUUAUUGUAGGAUGAUAGUAUAUUUACUUCUUAAUGGAAGUAUAGUUAUAUUAACAAAUUUAAGUAUCAUAAUUAUUUAUAUAAUGAUAGCUCUAAU